GAUGAACGCUGGCGGCGUGCCUAAUACAUGCAAGUCGAGCGAACAGACGAGGAGCUUGCUCCUCUGACGUUAGCGGCGGACGGGUGAGUAACACGUGGAUAACCUACCUAUAAGACUGGGAUAACUUCGGGAAACCGGAGCUAAUACCGGAUAACAUGUUGAACCGCAUGGUUCAACAGUGAAAGACGGUCUUGCUGUCACUUAUAGAUGGAUCCGCGCCGCAUUAGCUAGUUGGUAAGGUAACGGCUUACCAAGGCAACGAUGCGUAGCCGACCUGAGAGGGUGAUCGGCCACACUGGAACUGGGCCACGGUCCAGACUCCUACGGGAGGCAGCAGUAGGGAAUCUUCCGCAAUGGGCGAAAGCCUGACGGAGCAACGCCGCGUGAGUGAAGAAGGUCUUCGGAUCGUAAAACUCUGUUAUUAGGGAAGAACAAAUGUGUAAGUAACUAUGCACGUCUUGACGGUAACUAAUCAGAAAGCCACGGCUAACUACGUG
RNAcentral lists this ribosomal RNA (497 nucleotides) under uncultured bacterium. RNAcentral's name for it is "partial 16S ribosomal RNA". It matches the Rfam family "Bacterial small subunit ribosomal RNA", at positions 28 to 507 of the family's 1533-position model. The record is from RNAcentral.